UGUUUGCAUCAUCACAGCUAGAUCAGAACCUAAAUAAUAGAGAUGGUUUCUCACAGAUUUACUCUGCAGCAUUAAUCACUGCAGACAGGUCUCAGCUUCACUAAGGAAAAAUGGAGAGCACAGCACUGAGGUCUCUGCUUUAUUUUGAUUAGAGUAUGACAAGAUGACAUAGGACGUGAACUACAGACUAAAUGAAGAAGAAGAGACAGAACCUGAAGUCAGGAAGACAGAUGGGAGUACAGAGGUACUUCGAAUACCUGCGUCCCCAUGAACUAGUGAACUCGUCACUGAGAUACCUUGAGAUGCUUCACGUCACGACUUCCCUACAGGAACAGCAUCACUCAUGGUGAACUGCUCAGCAUGGCUACUGCUGCUGUUGAGUUCUGUUCCUUGUCUGUGAUUUCUUCAUUCACCGUGACUCAGACAACCUCUGCAGCAAUUGUACUUUAUUCCAUGGCAUUUGGAAUUGACUGGAAGGAGCAAUAUCCUCUUUUCUGAAGUUGUGAGACUUCUUCCCAAAGAUCAAUACCUCCGACACAAUGAGAGAAGACUGAUGAUUUGCUCGGAGUGGACUCUUCAUCACCAGUUCCUCAGAAGCAAAACCCAACACAAAUAAGCACCUCUAGAAUUCUGUGGAUGAGUGAUACCUGUGGGGUCUCUUCCUCCAAAUCUGUUUUAACUCAAGUCAGAGGAGAACUGAGGGUCUUGCGAAGUUGCACAGUUGCUAAAUUGCCUACACCGGGCUCAAAUUCAAUCCUCCUGUCUCCAUCUUCCGAAGUGCUGGGAUUACAGCUGUGCACCACAAUACCUGGCUAAAACCACGGGGUUGUUAAGUAGUUGGGAAGCCAGACUAUGAUGCCCAAUAUGGAUUGACUAUUAUCUUCUUUUGAAGUCCUGGAAGGUCCUCAGUGUAGGUUUUAUUGGUUCUGUACCUUUUUUGAUCAAUUCUAUUAUACCUGAUGAUAUAGACAACUCGAUUUAAAAAUAGCAAGAGGCACAAUGGUAACCACUUUUGAUCACCUGGUAUUCUAUUUUUGCAUCAUGUACUAUGCCCAUCCUUCUGUUCUAACUGACUCUGUUUUGCUUAGUCACGUUUGGUUUUAUUCUCUUCAAAAAAGUAAUACGAACUGUGAGAGUAAUAAAACCCUAAAAGUCUAAUUGCUACUGUAAAAAAGAGAGGAAAGUAAGGUGGACUAAGGGAUAUAACCGCAGGUAUGUUCGAGAGUGUAGGAUGGAAAACCAUAUAACUGAGCUUUUGUUGGAUCAUUGAACGGAACUGUCUCCAAUUUCACUGUAUGAAUGUCCACUUUAUAUGCUUUAAUUUAGUGAUAUGGACAACUGUUUCUGGGAAGGUAAUAUGUAACCUAUUAACUGGUGAUUUUGUACUGUAUAUAUUUUUUUCUUGAAAUACUGUAUUAUUUGUACCCUUUUACUACAUUGUUUUUUUAUGUCCUUUCUUUUUUCUUCUCUCUUUAAAUAAAAAAAAGAUUAUUUUCAGCAUCAAA
This is a long non-coding RNA of Cavia porcellus (domestic guinea pig), 1505 nucleotides long. RefSeq lists it as uncharacterized. The transcript is spliced from 6 exons. Lineage: Eukaryota; Metazoa; Chordata; Mammalia; Rodentia; Caviidae. The record is from RefSeq and is a predicted model, not a curated record.